Molecule: long non-coding RNA, 394 nt
Filed under: Dasypus novemcinctus (nine-banded armadillo)
Lineage: Eukaryota; Metazoa; Chordata; Mammalia; Cingulata; Dasypodidae
Description: lncRNA (ENSDNOG00000051268.1)
Source: RNAcentral
UGAAAAUAUAACCAAAUCAGAUCCUAGCAUGGAGCGGUGACGGAAGGGUAUAGUAGUUAAUUAAUGAACUAAUAUGAAAUGAAAACUUUACACUUCAAAUGAAUUGGAGAACUUUACUAAUGUAUGUAAUUAAUUAUUUUUCAGGGUAUCUAUGUAGAGAUAGAUUCUGAUGACACUCGACCAAAAACCAAAGAAGCAAAUUUUAAGUCAGAAUGCAUCUAUGGGGAGCAGCAGAUUUAGGAGCCUGGAUAACAAAAGCUUUGAUCAAUUUCACAACAUUCAUGUGAAGUCAGCAGAACUAAAAUUAUUGUCAUGCAAUAGGUAAGUACUAUUAUGAUUUUAUCAUUGGGUUCUUUCAGGGGGAAUUUGACAAAGGAUUCUAAAGAUGACCUGA